This 204-nucleotide unclassified non-coding RNA is filed under the name uncultured Mycena. Its description in RNAcentral is "sequence contains ITS2". The record is from RNAcentral. Lineage: Eukaryota; Fungi; Basidiomycota; Agaricomycetes; Agaricales; Tricholomataceae.
AAUUCUCAACCUUACUUGCUUUUGCUUGUGAGGCUUGGACGUGAGGGCUUGCUGGCUUCCUUCAGUGGAUGGUCUGCUCCCUUUAAAUGCAUUAGUGGGAUCCUUUGUGGACGGUCACUUGGUGUGAUAAUUAUCUACGCCGCUUGGCUGUGAAGCAAGACUUGUGGGAACCUGCUCAUAACUGUCGAAAGACAACCAUUGACG